Molecule: ribosomal RNA, 468 nt
Filed under: uncultured bacterium
Lineage: Bacteria
Description: partial 16S ribosomal RNA
Rfam family: Bacterial small subunit ribosomal RNA
Source: RNAcentral
GACGAACGCUGGCGGCGUGCUUAACACAUGCAAGUCGAACGGAAAGGCCCUGCUUUUGUGGGGUGCUCGAGUGGCGAACGGGUGAGUAACACGUGAGUAACCUGCCCUUGACUUUGGGAUAACUUCAGGAAACUGGGGCUAAUACCGGAUAGGAGCUCCUGCUGCAUGGUGGGGGUUGGAAAGUUUCGGCGGUUGGGGAUGGACUCGCGGCUUAUCAGCUUGUUGGUGGGGUAGUGGCUUACCAAGGCUUUGACGGGUAGCCGGCCUGCGAGGGUGACCGGCCACAUUGGGACUGAGAUACGGCCCAGACUCCUACGCGAGGCAGCAGUGGGGAAUAUUGCACAAUGCGCGGAAGCCUGAUGCAGCAACGCCGCGUGCGGGAUGACGGCCUUCGGGUUGUAAACCGCUUUCGCCUGUGACGAAGCGUGAGUGACGGUAAUGGGUAAAGAAGCACCGGCUAACUCCGUG